CGUGCCCGUGCGCCGAACGGUCGGCAGGCGAUCCCCGUCGGACGCAUGAGGUGGUAUGGUUCCCCAGAGGCUGGUUCUUGUGUUGCCUGCCCCUUCAGGGGAAGCGCUCCACUUGACGGUUAAGCCUCCAUCCGGCGCCCUCCAACGGGCGCAGGAGGACAACGUAGCACCCCCCGCGUUCCACCGAGCCGUCGUCGGUCGCGUGGCCCGCGGGGACGUGCGGUGCUCUCGGACCCAGCGCACGCCGUGGGCGGGGACUCACGUCCCGGUCCCAAGAGAAGCUUCGUUAUAGUGCUGACGGCCGCUCCCGCCCCCCGACCGCCCCGGCGGUGAGGGGGUGAGGCGCGGCGUCGCGGAGGAAUGCUACCU
RNAcentral lists this unclassified non-coding RNA (369 nucleotides) under Acacia aphanoclada. Its description in RNAcentral is "partial external transcribed spacer". The record is from RNAcentral. Lineage: Eukaryota; Viridiplantae; Streptophyta; Magnoliopsida; Fabales; Fabaceae.